ACCCCUCUGGUGUAGCGGUUAACAUAGCGGAUUCUCAUUUCGAAUUCCGUUGCCCGGGGUUCGACUCCCCGGAGGGGUA
This is a transfer RNA of Chaetomium globosum CBS 148.51, 79 nucleotides long. It matches the Rfam family "tRNA". Rfam says of the family: Transfer RNA (tRNA) molecules are approximately 80 nucleotides in length. Their secondary structure includes four short double-helical elements and three loops (D, anti-codon, and T loops). The record is from Rfam. NCBI's taxonomy places the organism in Eukaryota, Fungi, Ascomycota, Sordariomycetes, Sordariales, Chaetomiaceae.